AUUGAACGCUGGCGGCAGGCCUAACACAUGCAAGUCGAGCGAGCGGCGGACGGGUGAGAAAUGUAUGGGGACUGCCCGAUAGAGGGGGAUAACUACUGGGAAAGGUAGCUCAUAACGCAUACUAUCGGAUAACCCAUAUGGGGUUAGCUAGUAGGGGAGGUAAUGGCUCACCUAGGCGCGAAUCCCCAGCUGGUCGGAGAGGAUGAACAGCCACACUGGGACUGAGACACGGCCCAGACUCCUACGGAGGCAGCAGUGGGGAAUAUUGCACAAUGGGCGCAAGCCUGAUGCAGCCAUGCCGCGUGUAUGAAGAAGGCCCUAGGGUUGUAAAGUACUUUCAGUCGGGAGGCGUUACCGACAGAAGAAGCACCGGCUAACUCCGUGCCAGCAGCCGCGGUAAUUC
RNAcentral lists this ribosomal RNA (403 nucleotides) under uncultured bacterium. RNAcentral's name for it is "partial 16S ribosomal RNA". It matches the Rfam family "Bacterial small subunit ribosomal RNA", at positions 30 to 526 of the family's 1533-position model. The record is from RNAcentral.